RNAcentral lists this ribosomal RNA (424 nucleotides) under uncultured prokaryote. RNAcentral's name for it is "bacterial SSU rRNA". It matches the Rfam family "Bacterial small subunit ribosomal RNA", at positions 355 to 796 of the family's 1533-position model. The record is from RNAcentral.
UGGGGAAUCUUGGACAAUGGGGGCAACCCUGAUCCAGCGACGCCGCGUGGGUGAUGAAGGCCUUCGGGUUGUAAAGCCCUUUUCUCGGUGAGGAUGAUGACGGUAGCCGAGGAAUAAGCACCGGCUAACUCCGUGCCAGCAGCCGCGGUAAUACGGAGGAGGCAAGCGUUAUCCGGAAUCAUUGGGCGUAAAGCGUUCGCAGGCGGCGAUUCAAGUCUGCUGUCAAAGCCCGCAGCUCAACUGCGGACAGGCAGUGGAAACUGAAUCGCUAGAGUGCGGCAGGGGUAGAGGGAAUUCCCGGUGUAGCGGUGAAAUGCGUAGAUAUCGGGAAGAACACCAGUGGCGAAAGCGCUCUACUGGGCCGCAACUGACGCUCAGGGACGAAAGCUAGGGGAGCGAAAGGGAUUAGAUACCCCCGUAGUCC